This 767-nucleotide ribosomal RNA is filed under the name uncultured Streptococcus sp. Its description in RNAcentral is "bacterial SSU rRNA". It matches the Rfam family "Bacterial small subunit ribosomal RNA", at positions 28 to 776 of the family's 1533-position model. The record is from RNAcentral. Lineage: Bacteria; Bacillati; Bacillota; Bacilli; Lactobacillales; Streptococcaceae.
GACGAACGCUGGCGGCGUGCCUAAUACAUGCAAGUAGAACGCUGAAGGAGGAGCUUGCUCUUCUGGAUGAGUUGCGAACGGGUGAGUAACGCGUAGGUAACCUGCCUGGUAGCGGGGGAUAACUAUUGGAAACGAUAGCUAAUACCGCAUAAGAGUAGAUGUCGCAUGACAUUUGCUUAAAAGGUGCAAUCGCAUCACUACCAGAUGGACCUGCGUCGUAUUAGCUAGUUGGUGAGGUAACGGCUCACCAAGGCAACGAUACAUAGCCGACCUGAGAGGGUGAUCGGCCACACCGGGACUGAGACACGGCCCAGACUCCUACGGGAGGCAGCAGUAGGGAAUCUUCGGCAAUGGACGGAAGUCUGACCGAGCAACGCCGCGUGAGUGAAGAAGGUUUUCGGAUCGUAAAGCUCUGUUGUAAGAGAAGAACGAGUGUGAGAGUGGAAAGUUCACACUGUGACGGUAUCUUACCAGAAAGGGACGGCUAACCACGUGCCAGCAGCCGCGGUAAUACGUAGGUCCCGAGCGUUGUCCGGAUUUAUUGGGCGUAAAGCGAGCGCAGGCGGUUAGAUAAGUCUGAAGUUAAAGGCUGUGGCUUAACCAUAGUACGCUUUGGAAACUAUUUAACUUGAGUGCAAGGGGGGAGAGUGGAAUUCCAUGUGUAGCGGUGAAAUGCGUAGAUAUAUGGAGGGAACACCGGGUGGCGAAAAGCGGCUCUCUGGCUUGUAACUGACACUGAGGCUCGAAAGCGUGGGGGAGCAAACAGG